GAGAGAUAACACUUUCAAUUUCAUUGCCCAGAAACCCAUUUCCUCACCAUCUCCUUCAAAUUCACUUUGCAUAGAUAGCCAUCAUCACUUUCAAUUUCUAUGACCACCAAUGAUGAUAGAGCCCCAAUUCCGACGAAAAGGAAAAAGCCAAGUCGUAAGCGCUAGCUGAUUUGCUUGACGAUUCUUUCGCUAGUUCUUCCAUGGUUGAUGAGGAUUUAAAUGUUGUCAUUUUGGAUGCAUCGGCUUUGUCUAAUUCUUUUGGAAGACGAAAUGGUGGUAGUGGUGAGGUCAUUACGAAUUUGGCAAUAAAAAGGUCUGUCAACCUUUCCAAAGUGCUCAUCGUUAGUUGUAAAUGCAGAAAUUGUUUGUUAGUAUGGGCAGAAUUGUUUUGAGUAGAUCUGAUAAAUGUGGUUGUCAUGAUUGUUGGUAGCAUAUUGGAUUUGGUGUUGGCGAUUUGUUGGUGGUGAUGUUGUGGUGGCGGCAAAGUAACGUGUAAGGGUGGUCACAAGUGGCU
RNAcentral lists this long non-coding RNA (514 nucleotides) under Olea europaea subsp. europaea. The record is from RNAcentral. Lineage: Eukaryota; Viridiplantae; Streptophyta; Magnoliopsida; Lamiales; Oleaceae.